UUUGGGGUAGCAUAAUUUAAUGCAAAGAGUUUAAGCCUCUUAGAUUUAUCCAAAAU
Molecule: transfer RNA, 56 nt
Filed under: Histiostoma feroniarum
Lineage: Eukaryota; Metazoa; Arthropoda; Arachnida; Sarcoptiformes; Histiostomatidae
Description: tRNA-Leu
Source: RNAcentral